Molecule: long non-coding RNA, 692 nt
Organism: Sander lucioperca (pikeperch)
Lineage: Eukaryota; Metazoa; Chordata; Actinopteri; Perciformes; Percidae
Exons: 3
Source: RefSeq, a predicted model, not a curated record
CAUCUUCCGCAACACCAGAGGCACACCAUCCUCCACCAGGCCCUUCUCCUGCAGCUCAAACAAGGACACUCCAAACAGCUUGGUGUGCUUGGCUGUCACUGUCCUGGGUUGCAGUAUGGGUAUCUGGACCAUCUUCUUAAUGUCUUCUUUAACAUGCACCGCUGUUUUGUUGUGCUGUAGGGAAAAGAGCAGAAAGCAGCAGUCAGCCACUGACACUAUGGGCACAGAAGGAAGCGCUGCAGCCGGCAUCAGUCACUGAAGGCAGAGACGCGGGUGAAUACUGAGGGUUUCUUGUCUUUGAUGCAGCCCUGCGGUCCAAAGCUGACGACCCCAUGCACCUCCCAGGUUGUGUUUAUCCCAGCGGCCGCGCAGGUGAAAGGACCUCCGGAGUCACCCUACGGGAGGGCAUGAGAAGUUAAUCACCAAAGAUUUACUGCACUGCCAGUGACAAAGCAGGGUGUCCCAGCAGCCAUCACAGCUCCAGGUUUGGACAGACAGAUGGGGCUGAUCUCCCUUGUCAUAUUGACAGGCUCGGCCAAAUGUACCAACGCUAUGUCAUUGGUGAUGUCAGUGCGAUCCUGCUCGUAAACAAACCCCUCGUGGCGGAUGAUACCAUCCACCUUGUAGCAUUUCUCUGCUGAUGGAACGUCCAUGGAGGAGUUCAUGUGGUGCUUCCCCAAACACAUGCGCCA